Long non-coding RNA from Myotis daubentonii (Daubenton's bat), 3881 nucleotides. RefSeq lists it as uncharacterized. The record is from RefSeq and is a predicted model, not a curated record. Lineage: Eukaryota; Metazoa; Chordata; Mammalia; Chiroptera; Vespertilionidae.
CAGACAAUUUAGUUAAAAAUGGUAACAAUAACUACUUCUUGCCUGGGCUAUUCAUAGUUCAGGAGGUAGGAUUGGUUUGUGCAGAUUGGUCAAGGUUACCUAAAUGGCUAAUUUAACAUUAUACAUUUUUGUCUGUACACAGUGUUCAAGGUGACAGUGGUCCUAAUUGGGAUUAUUUCUGGGAAGAUUGUAUCCCCUGCUUAUUAUCCUUUUAAACUUGUCAGGCAGGAAAAUUCUAGAACAAGGAGAGAUUGAUAUUAUUCUUGGCAUUUUCUUUGAAUCUCUAAUAACUGGCAGAAAUGAUCUGUAGGCCUUCCCAAGAUCUAUGAGUGUCGCAAACAUGGUGGCUUUUGGGAGAACAUGUUGCGUGCAUCUUAAUAUCAGGGCCUUUACCUGGUUUCUGCUCUGAAGGUGAGUCAGCCCAGCGAUGAACCCAAAACUCCGAAAUUAACAUGUCAGUAUUUCCGGUGUUUCUGUAAAGGACGCAAACCACAUGUCCUUCAAGGUCAGCAGACUGUACUUUAUCUGGGGUUCCCCUUUCUUGUGAUUUCUGGUGGCAGGGCACAUCGUCACCUCACAUGAAUUCUUUUCCUUUUUGAUAAUCUGACUUCAACCCCCAGACCUCACCAGCUUGCUGGCCAGGGCUGGGCAGAGAGGGCGGCACGUGCCAUGCUUUGGGGUUGCCUGUGGAGUUGCUGUUCUGGUUUAGGUGUUAGCUGGGGCUGAGAGAGAGAGAUGAAGGGAACAGAAGGCCGAGGAAUCCACGGUCACCCCCUAGCUAGGAAUUGCUGACACAGCUCCUCUGUCUGGGUGGGGAAAGAGAACCCAGCCUCUAGGGUGGGGGAUUAGAUAUCUUCGUUUCCCAAGCCCAUGCAUUAAAGCACUGGUGUCACUUUAGAGGUGGAAAGUCUUGUGUUGCAACACACAGGUCAGUCACAGGUUAUUGCUGUGACGGUCUGAGCAGCCUUGGUGACCAACGGUCCCUCUUUGCCCAGGACUGAGGGGUUUCCCCCAAGAUGCAUGACGUACAGUGCUGAAACUGGGGCUGUCCCGGGCUGUCAGGAACAGCUGGUCACCCUACCCUUGAGUCUACCCCAAUAUUUAAUUCUUGACAUUUCUAGGAAGACAAAGAAGGCUAGUUUAAAAUUUGUUUUGCCUUUCCAAGUCCCUUUCUUCCAAACAUUAAGGUACCCAGAGCCACCUGCAGAGAAAUCAAUAAAAAGGGGUGACGUGUAGUCCAAGGGGGAAGUAGGGAAGAGAGAGCUGUCCCUACAACUGCGCCUUGGAGACUGAAGGAGCAGGGGACAGAGGUCUUUUGGGUGGUUGGUUACGUAUGAACCUUAAUCAUUAGUAGCAUUAUUUUGUUAUCCCAUCAUCCCAUCACCCAAUGCCCUGCUUUAUUCUUCUCAGCAGCCCUUAGUACUGACUUUUAUAUAGAUAUGAUUAUUGGUUUGCUUUCUGUGUGGUCUUCCACAUCCUUUGGAAAAUGAGCUUCAUGAGGACCUGGACUUCAUUUAUUUCUUCUCUGGGUCUUCAGGGCCCAGUAUAUUUCUUGGUACAAAGUAGAUGCUUAAUAGGUAACUAUGGGAUUAAUGAAUGUCAUCCCUACUGGCCUAUGAAGCCUGGUGUGUGGUGAACCAUGUUUUCUAAGCUUGCAUGCAGUAAGGUUUUUAGCAGAUGUUCAAAAAAGCAUUCAGCCUUUUUUUGGGGUGGUGGUGGUGGGGGGGCGGUUUGCUGUUAGUCCUCUUUCAAAUCCAUCUCAAAUACGACCACCAAAUAAAUCUUCCUAAAUUACAUUUUAUUCUUCAUUGCCUGUGUAAAGCCUGGGGUGAUUUCUCACCAACAUGAUGAAUUUCUGGUUUCUGCAUGUUGAAUUUCUUGGAAUCCAGGACUUCUAUGAUCUGAUCUUCUCUACUCAUCUAACUUUCUCCCCUGCUCAUCUCCAACAAGAACCCUUAGCUCCACAGUAAGGAAGUGAAUUAUUCUGCAAUGACAUCAGCUUGAAGGAAGACCCCAAGAUCCAGAUGAGGAUGCAACCCACCAGACAGCUUGAUUUAUUAGCUUCAUGAGACCCCGUGGCGCUGUGCCAGACGUCUGACUACAGAAGUCUCAUGGGUCCUGGGAGUCUGCAGUCCUUAUGGGACAGAGUGGAAUGCAGAAAGCACAGAUUCUCAGGUUGGGACCUGGGGCCUCCUGAGAAGAGUUGGAGAGGAGCAGCCCAGCCACUACUGCCCCGGUGUUGUUGUCCUCACUCACAGUGGCUUCCUGUUGGUAUGAGCGGCAAACCCGAAUGGUAUGUACCAGAGUCUCGGGGAUGAGGGAUCUGGGGGCCAGCACCUUCUCCAUCUGAGCCCACACAAGAGGGGCCGUCAGUAUGGAAAACAAAUAAAAUGUGGUAUCUGUUCUAGAUGUUUCUGCAGUGUCUCCCAGGAGACCUCAGUCAACAUCAGUGCUCCAAGAGAGGGAUCAAGGUCUCAAAGAGACAUAUUUAGAUUGUCUUGGUUAGGUUUGGGAAACAGGAAGUUCAGAGUCUGGACUCUGGUCAAGGAUUCCCAAGGGUGGAGUCAGGUAAUUACAGGUGUAAUUAUAGGUAAGGGUCUGGGACCACUUACUAGCUGGGACCAAGCUAUUGAAAAUGUGCCUCAUUUUCUCCAUCUGUAAAGGGAAGAGAAUUGAGUGUCUACCUCCAAAGAAAUGUAGUGGGUGUUAACUGAGUUAAUAGAUAUAAUGCCUGGCUUGCUGUGAGCACCCGGUUAAAUGUUAGCUGUUGUUAAUUUAGGCUGACUGCCUGAUUUCUCCUGGACCUCAGGCCUAGGCCAAUGUGCGCCGUUGUCCGUUGGGCAGACAUUCAGGUUGGGGAGGUGAGAGUGGGGGUAGAGAGAAGGGUCUGGAAUAGAGUCACUGCAUGACAGGCAGCCCAGGCUCUUCCUGAGCUUGCUGCUGGCUUCUGUCCGAGGCCGGUGCCUAUCUGCUCAGUAACACAGCAGAUCCACUCUCUCUGGUUCCUGGGGAGGCACACAGAAGAAUGACUGAUUGUCUGGGCACUUGAGCGGUUGUGCUGGAGUGAGGGCCACGCCAGCUUGAGUCACGUGGCGAAUCCAGCACCACUCCUGGAGCCCACCCUGUCCCACAGACAAGGACUCAGCCAUGACUCACUGUAUGCAGGUGAGGCCUGAGCCUUAGUCACUGGCGCCCCUUCCUCCAACACCUGAGCAUCAGCAUGCACAGCCUUGACCAGGCUCUCUUAUCCUUCCUAACCUCUUUUCUCCUUUUCCUCCUCCUCUCCUCCUUUCCUCACCCUUAUCCUUUGACAUCUCAUUGAUCAGAUCUUGACUGAUCUCGUUAGCAACUUGGACAGAUGGAAAACGGAGACAGUAGCUUCCACUGCCACUCCGUUCCCUGUCAGAGACACUGCCAGGAACGCUGAUGAGCAGGCCGAGGAGGAGCCUGCCUACAUUAGCAUGGGGGCAGUUCUGUCAUCUGAGGGAAGCUGCCUCAAAAGAGGGCCCCCAACCCCCGCAGCUGACUGAUGUAUGAAUUACCACUAUUAGCUGUUCAUUCUAGUGACCAAAAGCCCAGACUGUGCCCUCUGAGAGGUAACUACACUGACAAGGGCAUGGAGACUCAUUAACAACAUCAAUGAUUUACUCUUCAUUGUGAAUACAUUCAUUCUACAUCUAUCAAACACCUAAUAUAUGCCAGGAAUUAUUUCUAGGCAGUUGAAUAAUAGUAGUGAACAAAAUGGACAAAAAUCUCUGCCUUCUUGGACACCACAUUCUGGUGAGGGAGACAGAAAAUAAGCAUGAUAGGUAGGUAAGUUAUAGAGUUAGUUAGAAGGAAGUAAGUGUUGAAAAUAAAACCCCACAAAACCCCACCCCCAA